Molecule: ribosomal RNA, 375 nt
Filed under: Leptomantis rufipes (Malaysian flying frog)
Lineage: Eukaryota; Metazoa; Chordata; Amphibia; Anura; Rhacophoridae
Description: partial 12S ribosomal RNA
Rfam family: Bacterial small subunit ribosomal RNA
Source: RNAcentral
GCCAAACCGUAAAAAAUUAACUCACACCACAAACGCCAGGGUACUACGAGCCUAGCUUGAAACCCAAAGGACUUGACGGUGUUCCACCCAACUAGAGGAGCCUGUCCUGUAAUCGAUGAUCCACGAUACACCCAACCAUUUCUUGCUUAUCAGCCUGUAUACCUCCGUCGCAAGCUUGCCAUAUGAAUGUACAAAAGCGGGCUAAAUGGCCAAACGCCAAAACGUCAGGUCAAGGUGCAGCUUAUGAAACGGUAGAGAUGAGCUACAAUUUCUAUUAUAGAACAAACGAAUUACUACAUGAAAUAUAGUCAUGAAGGUGGAUUUAGAAGUAAGUAGGAAAUAGAGAGUCCUACUGAACUCGGCUCUGGAACGUGU